RNAcentral lists this ribosomal RNA (447 nucleotides) under uncultured bacterium. RNAcentral's name for it is "bacterial SSU rRNA". It matches the Rfam family "Bacterial small subunit ribosomal RNA", at positions 328 to 792 of the family's 1533-position model. The record is from RNAcentral.
CGACCAGACUCCUACGGGAGGCAGCAGUGGGGAAUAUUGCACAAUGGGCGAAAGCCUGAUGCAGCGACGCCGCGUGAGUGAAGAAGUAUUUCGGUAUGUAAAGCUCUAUCAGCAGGGAAGAAAAUGACGGUACCUGACUAAGAAGCCCCGGCUAACUACGUGCCAGCAGCCGCGGUAAUACGUAGGGGGCAAGCGUUAUCCGGAUUUACUGGGUGUAAAGGGAGCGUAGACGGCGAAGCAAGUCUGAAGUGAAAACCCAGGGCUCAACCCAUAGCCUGCUUUUGAAACUGUUUUUCUUGAGUGAAGUAGAGGCAAGCGGAAUUCCUAGUGUAGCGGUGAAAUGCGUAGAUAUUAGGAGGAACACCAGUGGCGAAGGCGGCUUGCUGGGCUUUUACUGACGCUGAGGCUCGAAAGCGUGGGGAGCAAACAGGAUUAGAUACCCCGGUA